RNAcentral lists this long non-coding RNA (1749 nucleotides) under Manihot esculenta (cassava). RNAcentral's name for it is "long non-coding RNA (MESC_LNC012109)". The record is from RNAcentral. Lineage: Eukaryota; Viridiplantae; Streptophyta; Magnoliopsida; Malpighiales; Euphorbiaceae.
GGUUUUAUCCCAUAAAGAGCUUCGAAUGGAGUCAUUUUAAGACUGGAGUGGUAAUUGGUGUUAUACCACCAUUCGGCGAGGCUCAACCAAUUCUGCAUAACCUCUAUUUUACUGGGGUCUGUGUGUACACCGUUUUCAUCAAUUACAUGACCCAAGUAUUCAACUCUAGUCUGAGCAAAGGAACAUUUUGACUGUUUGGCAAACAACUUGUGUUCACUAAGUAUGUCAAAGACUUUCUUUAGAUGGUUUAAGUGCUCCUCAAGAGUUCUGCUAUAUAUCAAAAUAUCAUCGAAGAAGACUAGAAUAAACUGCCUCAAAUAAGGCUCAAAGAUUUGGUUCAUCAAGGAUUGGAAGGUAGCAGGAGCAUUAGUCAAGCCGAAAGGCAUUACCUUAAAUUCGUAGUGCCCAUGAUGAGUUCGGAAUGCUGUUUUGUAAACAUCUUCCACUCUUACUCGAAUUUGAUGGUAACCGGCUCGCAAGUCGAUUUUGCUGAAGAAUCUUGCUCCGUUUAAUUCAUCCAGUAGAUCAUCUAUGACAGGUAUUGGAAAUUUAUCUUUGACUGUCAUCUCAUUCAAUUGUCUAUAAUCCACGCAAAAACGCCAAGUUCCAUCUUUCUUCUUAACUAACAGGACUGGAGAAGCGAAAGGACUGUGACUACAUUGAAUCACUCCAGUGUUGAGCAUUUCUUUUACCUGUUUUUCUAUUUCCGUUUUCUGAAAAUAGUUGUGGUGAUAAGGUCUGAUGUUAACAGGUUUUGUGUUGGGCAGGAGAUUAAUAGCAUGGUCAUGUGAUCUUUCCGGAGGCAGGGCCGUAGGUGUUGCGAAAAUGGUCUCAUAUUGCUGCAAUAAUGCCUGAACUGGUUCUGCUAUUCCGGUGUUCAACUGAUUUUCCACCGUGGGUUCUGUAAUUUUGAUGGAGAAUAGCUGAGCAGGUAGUAACGCUCCCCCUUCUUUGAUAAGCCUUGUCAUCUUCUUCCCACUCACACAAUGCAGCUCUCCUUGGUCUUGGAUGCCCUGUAGUUUAACCUCAUUCCCAUCUCUGUUGAAAGUAAGAGUCAUGCCCACAAAAUCAAAAAGCAAAGGAUUAUACAUGAUCAUCCAAUCCACUCCUAAUACAAUAUCAUACCCAACCACUGUAAGAACCCGUAAAUCAAAGGCGUACUCCUGUCCCUGCAUAUUCCAUUUCAUUCCCUGACAUACUGUUUGGCUGAGUAUUUGUUCUCCAUUAGCUACUGUGACCGAAAGAGUAGCUGUCGUGACAAUAGCUGCCUGCACUCUCGCAGCUAUCCCAGCAUUCAUGAAACUAUGGGUGCUGCCCGUGUCUAACAAGAUUACCACAGGAACUCCAUGAAUGUUUCCCUUGAUCCUCAGCGUAUUGGGCGAUUUCUGACCUGUUACCGCUGCGAGUGACAGUUCUCCUUUGAGAUUUUCUCCUUCGGUUUCCUCACAGGUAAGUUCUUCUUGAACAAUGUCAUCUAUAUUGGCUUCCAUAGCCAAGAGCGUCUUGUUCUUGCACUGAUGUCCAGGGCUGAACCUAUCACCACAUUUAAAACAUAACCCGGUAGCUUUUCUUUGUUCCCAUGUAUUGGUCUUCCCUCCCGAAUCCUUAUUAGUUUCUUCUUUCGGUUGCAGGAUUGUGGGUUUUGGCGAUGGAAAACUGAUAGGAUAGCUUGACUUCCCCGUAGUAAUCUUACCCGGAAUCAGUUUAUGCCUCCUAAGGACAGCUUCAAACGAUUGCUCCUGAUAUUNN